AUUGAACGCUGGCGGCAUGCCUUACACAUGCAAGUCGAACGGCAGCACGGGGCAACCUGGUGGCGAGUGGCGAACGGGUGAGUAAUGCAUCGGAACGUGCCAUUGAGUGGGGGAUAACGUAGCGAAAGUUGCGCUAAUACCGCAUAUUCUGUGAGCAGGAAAGCAGGGGACCGCAAGGCCUUGCGCUCUUUGAGCGGCCGAUGUCAGAUUAGCUAGUUGGUGAGGUAACGGCUUACCAAGGCGACGAUCUGUAGCGGGUCUGAGAGGAUGAU
This 272-nucleotide ribosomal RNA is filed under the name uncultured bacterium. RNAcentral's name for it is "partial 16S ribosomal RNA". It matches the Rfam family "Bacterial small subunit ribosomal RNA", at positions 30 to 304 of the family's 1533-position model. The record is from RNAcentral.